CUUAGCUGUCAUAUUAAGCCUUAGCAUAUGAAUACUCCUAUUUUGCAAGCCAGAAUGUCACAAUGAAAUAAGAUAUAUUUUCGUGAUGUUACCAAGCCUAGAAGGACAGCAUCGAAUCCAAAGCCAGAUCACAAUUAGCAGAAAUGCCAGUGCUCCUAUGACAGACAAAGGAGUGACAGGAACUCUAAAGGUGUUGCUGUGCAUGGACCGAGCUUAAAUCAAACUAUUGAAAAUUAACUGUAGAGGCUGGAAACUGAAGAUGUUUGCCCAUUGUGCUGCGAUUCUUCUACUUGUCUUGCAUGCUGAUUCACAGAGUAAUGAAGUAAAAACAAUUGAGGUCCCUUUAGGAGGCACAGUAAAUAUCAGCUGUGAAAUUUCAACUAAGGCUUGGUCAUGGUCCCUGACCUGGUACAAGGAAGGACAAAACAAAAACCUGCGCAAGAUUGAUCAGGAUCACAAGAACUUGAAAAAAGACCAAAAGUGCACCUCACACUUCUGUAAUCUGAUUAUCAACAAUGCACAAAGGAAUGUAUCUGGUACUUACACCUGUAUUGCAAUAAGACAGGAAUGUGAAAUACUCAUGCACAGCACAAGGGUGAUAAUCACAGAAACUUUGAAGCCAAAUCUUUCCAUCCUUGUGCCAUCCUUCUUGCAGGAUGAACCACUGAAGCAUGAUAUUCCUCUGCUCUGCACCCUUUUCAAUGUUAACCCUAAUUCAAAUACCAUCAUUUGGAAUAUUAAUGGAAAAAUAUAUCAGGAUAAGAUGGAUGCUGACAUGAUAGAUGGGAAAGGAGCUUUCAGUAUUUGGAGCUUGAAACUGAUUCCUCCAGAGGAUUGGCAGCCAGAAAUGUCUUAUGCUUGUUCAUACCAGGUGCUGCAGUCUUCACAACAGGAAGUGUCCUCAAACAGGAAGAUUCACAGAUCAAAGAAGCAGAACUAAGUGGGAGAAGGUUAAAUGUGGCUUAAAAGGAUUGAGAGUUUUGCAUAAUAAACAGAAGAUGGAAAGACUCACAAAGAAGAAAGUGAAUGACAGAAUUUAAAGGUUCAACAUGAAGAACAGAAGUGCUUGUGAGAAAAGAAUAUUUUGGAAAAGGAUGUGUUUAAAAGAAAUGUUAAUGUUUAAGAAAUAUACUUGAAAUAAAUUGAAAGGAAUUGAAAAGAUGCUUAGAUGGAAAGUAAUAGUAGUUAAAAUCUGGAAAAGGUUAUUUUCAAAAGAAAUAUUAAUAAUUAAGAAAUAUAUUUGAAAUAAAUUGAAAUGAAUUGAGAAGAUGUAUAGAAUGAAAAUAAUAUUAAUGAUUAGAAUUAACUUGUUAGUUCUUUCUUAUGUAAAAGUGGAGAGGUAAAAUGAGAAAAGAACAUUUUGGAAAAAGAGGUGUUAAAAAGUAAUAUCAAGGUUUAAGAAAUAUAUUUGAAAUAAAUUGAAAUGAAUCGAGAAGAUACUUAGAUGAAAAAUAACAUUACUUAAUGGAUAAGAUAGGAUGUUGAAUGUUAAAAGUGAAUAUAUAAUUACUGUCAUAUUUGCAUGCAAAAAGAGUGACUCGGAAUUAUGUUGUACACUGAAAAGAGCUUUUUUAUGUUGUUUUGGAAAAAUUGAAUAAAACUUGUUAUUAAAAAAAA
Naja naja (Indian cobra) is the source of this 1617-nucleotide long non-coding RNA. The record is from Ensembl. NCBI's taxonomy places the organism in Eukaryota, Metazoa, Chordata, Lepidosauria, Squamata, Elapidae.